Molecule: transfer RNA, 83 nt
Filed under: Absicoccus porci
Lineage: Bacteria; Bacillati; Bacillota; Erysipelotrichia; Erysipelotrichales; Erysipelotrichaceae
Description: tRNA-Leu
Rfam family: tRNA
About the family: Transfer RNA (tRNA) molecules are approximately 80 nucleotides in length. Their secondary structure includes four short double-helical elements and three loops (D, anti-codon, and T loops). Further hydrogen bonds mediate the characteristic L-shaped molecular structure. tRNAs have two regions of fundamental functional importance: the anti-codon, which is responsible for specific mRNA codon recognition, and the 3' end, to which the tRNAs corresponding amino acid is attached (by aminoacyl-tRNA synthetases). tRNAs cope with the degeneracy of the genetic code in two manners: having more than one tRNA (with a specific anti-codon) for a particular amino acid; and 'wobble' base-pairing, i.e. permitting non-standard base-pairing at the 3rd anti-codon position.
Source: RNAcentral
GCGGGUGUGGUGAAACUGGCAGACACGAUAGACUUAGGAUCUAUUGCUCACGCGUGCAGGUUCGAGUCCUGUCACCCGCACCA